AUUGAACGCUGGCGGCAGGCCUAACACAUGCAAGUCGAGCGGAUGAAGGGAGCUUGCUCCUGGAUUCAGCGGCGGACGGGUGAGUAAUGCCUAGGAAUCUGCCUGGUAGUGGGGGAUAACGUCCGGAAACGGGCGCUAAUACCGCAUACGUCCUGAGGGAGAAAGUGGGGGAUCUUCGGACCUCACGCUAUCAGAUGAGCCUAGGUCGGAUUAGCUAGUUGGUGGGGUAAAGGCCUACCAAGGCGACGAUCCGUAACUGGUCUGAGAGGAUGAUCAGUCACAUGGGAAGUGAGACAGGGUCCAGACUCCUACGGGAGGCAGCAGUGGGGAAUAUUGGGCAAUGGGCGAAAGGCUGAUCCAGCCAUGCCGCGUGUGUGAAGAAGGUGUUCGGAUUGUAAAGCACUUUAAGUUGGGAGGAAGGGCAGUAAGUUAAUACCUUGCUGUUUUGACGUUACCAGCAGAAUAAGCACCGGCUAACUUCGUG
Molecule: ribosomal RNA, 484 nt
Filed under: uncultured bacterium
Lineage: Bacteria
Description: partial 16S ribosomal RNA
Rfam family: Bacterial small subunit ribosomal RNA
Source: RNAcentral